Molecule: non-coding RNA, 21 nt
Filed under: Arabidopsis thaliana (thale cress)
Lineage: Eukaryota; Viridiplantae; Streptophyta; Magnoliopsida; Brassicales; Brassicaceae
Source: RNAcentral
UUAUGGGUCAACUCAACUCAA